CCCGGUGAUCUAGCCAUGGGCAGGUUGAAGGUUGGGUAACACUAACUGGAGGACCGAACCGACUAAUGUUGAAAAAUUAGCGGAUGACCUGUGGCUGGGGGUGAAAGGCCAAUCAAACCGGGAGAUAGCUGGUUCUCCCCGAAAGCUAUUUAGGUAGCGCCUCGUGAAUUCAUCUCCGGGGGUAGAGCACUGUUUCGGCUAGGGGGCCAUCCCGGCUUACCAACCCGAUGCAAACUGCGAAUACCGGAGAAUGUUAUCACGGGAGACACACGGCGGGUGCUAACGUCCGUCGUGAAGAGGGAAACAACCCAGACCGCCAGCUAAGGUCCCAAAGUCAUGGUUAAGUGGGAAACGAUGUGGGAAGGCCCAGACAGCCAGGAUGUUGGCUUAGAAGCAGCCAUCAUUUAAAGAAAGCGUAAUAGCUCACUGGUCGAGUCGGCCUGCGCGGAAGAUGUAACGGGGCUAAACCAUGCACCGAAGCUGCGGCAGCGACACUGUGUGUUGUUGGGUAGGGGAGCGUUCUGUAAGCCUGUGAAGGUGUGUCGUGAGGCAUGCUGGAGGUAUCAGAAGUGCGAAUGCUGACAUAAGUAACGAUAAAGCGGGUGAAAAGCCCGCUCGCCGGAAGACCAAGGGUUCCUGUCCAACGUUAAUCGGGGCAGGGUGAGUCGACCCCUAAGGCGAGGCCGAAAGGCGUAGUCGAUGGGAAACGGGUUAAUAUUCCCGUACUUGGUGUUACUGCGAAGGGGGGACGGAGAAGGCUAUGUUGGCCGGGCGACGGUUGUCCCGGUUUAAGCGUGUAGGCUGGUUUUCCAGGCAAAUCCGGAAAAUCAAGGCUGAGGCGUGAUGACGAGGCACUACGGUGCUGAAGCAACAAAUGCCCUGCUUCCAGGAAAAGCCUCUAAGCAUCAGGUAACAUCAAAUCGUACCCCAAACCGACACAGGUGGUCAGGUAGAGAAUACCAAGGCGCUUGAGAGAACUCGGGUGAAGGAACUAGGCAAAAUGGUGCCGUAACUUCGGGAGAAGGCACGCUGACACGUAGGUGAAGUGAUUUACUCAUGGAGCUGAAGUCAGUCGAAGAUACCAGCUGGCUGCAACUGUUUAUUAAAAACACAGCACUGUGCAAACACGAAAGUGGACGUAUACGGUGUGACGCCUGCCCGGUGCCGGAAGGUUAAUUGAUGGGGUCAGCGCAAGCGAAGCUCCUGAUCGAAGCCCCGGUAAACGGCGGCCGUAACUAUAACGGUCCUAAGGUAGCGAAAUUCCUUGUCGGGUAAGUUCCGACCUGCACGAAUGGCGUAAUGAUGGCCAGGCUGUCUCCACCCGAGACUCAGUGAAAUUGAACUCGCUGUGAAGAUGCAGUGUACCCGCGGCAAGACGGAAAGACCCCGUGAACCUUUACUAUAGCUUGACACUGAACAUUGAGCCUUGAUGUGUAGGAUAGGUGGGAGGCUUUGAAGUGUGGACGCCAGUCUGCAUGGAGCCGACCUUGAAAUACCACCCUUUAAUGUUUGAUGUUCUAACGUGGACCCGUUACCCGGGUUGCGGACAGUGUCUGGUGGGUAGUUUGACUGGGGCGGUCUCCUCCUAAAGAGUAACGGAGGAGCACGAAGGUUGGCUAAUCCUGGUCGGACAUCAGGAGGUUAGUGCAAUGGCAUAAGCCAGCUUGACUGCGAGCGUGACGGCGCGAGCAGGUGCGAAAGCAGGUCAUAGUGAUCCGGUGGUUCUGAAUGGAAGGGCCAUCGCUCAACGGAUAAAAGGUACUCCGGGGAUAACAGGCUGAUACCGCCCAAGAGUUCAUAUCGACGGCGGUGUUUGGCACCUCGAUGUCGGCUCAUCACAUCCUGGGGCUGAAGUAGGUCCCAAGGGUAUGGCUGUUCGCCAUUUAAAGUGGUACGCGAGCUGGGUUUAGAACGUCGUGAGACAGUUCGGUCCCUAUCUGCCGUGGGCGCUGGAGAACUGAGGGGGGCUGCUCCUAGUACGAGAGGACCGGAGUGGACGCAUCACUGGUGUUCGGGUUGUCAUGCCAAUGGCACUGCCCGGUAGCUAAAUGCGGAAGAGAUAAGUGCUGAAAGCAUCUAAGCACGAAACUUGCCCCGA
This 2098-nucleotide ribosomal RNA is filed under the name Salmonella enterica subsp. enterica serovar Enteritidis. RNAcentral's name for it is "partial 23S ribosomal RNA". It matches the Rfam family "Bacterial large subunit ribosomal RNA", at positions 721 to 2802 of the family's 2925-position model. Lineage: Bacteria; Pseudomonadati; Pseudomonadota; Gammaproteobacteria; Enterobacterales; Enterobacteriaceae. The record is from RNAcentral.